UGGGGGACCUGGAGGACCAGGAGGCCCUGGAGGGCCUGGAGGUCCCAUCUUUCCAGGGGUGCCUGCAGCUCCA
Molecule: microRNA precursor, 73 nt
Filed under: Nannospalax galili (Upper Galilee mountains blind mole rat)
Lineage: Eukaryota; Metazoa; Chordata; Mammalia; Rodentia; Spalacidae
Description: miRNA (ENSNGAG00000004376.1)
Source: RNAcentral